RNAcentral lists this ribosomal RNA (468 nucleotides) under uncultured bacterium. RNAcentral describes it as "partial 16S ribosomal RNA". It matches the Rfam family "Bacterial small subunit ribosomal RNA", at positions 28 to 507 of the family's 1533-position model. The record is from RNAcentral.
GACGAACGCUGGCGGCGUGCUUAACACAUGCAAGUCGAACGGAAAGGCCCUGCUUUUGUGGGGUGCUCGAGUGGCGAACGGGUGAGUAACACGUGAGUAACCUGCCCUUGACUUUGGGAUAACUUCAGGAAACUGGGGCUAAUACCGGAUAGGAGCUCCUGCUGCAUGGUGGGGGUUGGAAAGUUUCGGCGGUUGGGGAUGGACUCGCGGCGUAUCAGCUUGUUGGUGGGGUAGUGGCUUACCAAGGCUUUGACGGGUAGCCGGCCUGAGAGGGUGACCGGCCACAUUGGGACUGAGAUGCGGCCCAGACUCCUACGGGAGGCAGCAGUGGGGAAUAUUGCACAAUGGGCGGAAGCCUGAUGCAGCAACGCCGCGUGCGGGAUGACGGCCUUCGGGUUGUAAACCGCUUUCGCCUGUGACGAAGCGGGAGUGACGGUAAUGGGUAAAGAAGCACCGGCUAACUACGUG